RNAcentral lists this ribosomal RNA (449 nucleotides) under uncultured bacterium. Its description in RNAcentral is "partial 16S ribosomal RNA". It matches the Rfam family "Bacterial small subunit ribosomal RNA", at positions 29 to 523 of the family's 1533-position model. The record is from RNAcentral.
AACGAACGCUGGCGGCAGGCUUAACACAUGCAAGUCGAACGAGAUCUUUGGAUCUAGUGGCAGACGGGUGAGGAACACGUGGGAACAUCCCUUUCAGUUCGGAAUAACGUUGGGAAACUAACGCUAAUACCGGAUACGUCCUUCGGGAGAAAGAUUUAUCGCUGAAAGAUUGGCCCGGGUCUGAUUGGCUGGUUGGUGAGGUAACGGCUCACCAAGGCUACGAUCGGUAGCUGAUCUGGGAGGAUGAUCAGCCACAUUGGGACUGAGACACGGCCCAGACUCCUACGGGAGGCAGCAGUGGGGAAUAUUGGACAAUGGGCGCAAGCCUGAUCCAGCCAUGCCGCGUGAGUGAUGACGGCCUUCGGGUUGUAAAGCUCUUUUGUCCGGGAAGAUAAUGACUGUACCGGAAGAAUAAGCCCCGGCAAACUUCGUGCCAGCAGCCGCCGUAA